UACGUAGGGGGCAAGCGUUAUCCGGAUUUACUGGGUGUAAAGGGAGCGUAGACGGCAGGGCAAGUCUGGAGUGAAAGGCAGGGGCCCAACCCCUGGACUGCUCUGGAAACUGUCCGGCUGGAGUGCAGGAGAGGUAAGUGGAACUCCUAUUGUAGCGGUGAAAUGCGUAGAUAUUAGGAGGAACACCAGUGGCGAAGGCGGCUUACUGGACUGUAACUGACGUUGAGGCUCGAAAGCGUGGGGAGCAAACAGG
Molecule: ribosomal RNA, 253 nt
Filed under: uncultured bacterium
Lineage: Bacteria
Description: partial 16S ribosomal RNA
Rfam family: Bacterial small subunit ribosomal RNA
Source: RNAcentral